UUGAGGAAGGCUAGAUUUACCUUCCUCGUCGAUUGAGCUAAUUCAUAGCAUACUUUGAUUUUUUGCCAGAUAUGGGAUGGGAAUUAGGUCUUGCGGGUAUAAUUAGUAUAAUUUGGUGGUUUUAGCCUAUUAAGUAACCAUAAAUUAGGCGUAAUUGAAUUAGUUAUUCAUGUUUAGGUAGAAUUUCUAUCUUAAUGCUAAUUAUGACUUAUUUAACAUCUAGAAGUGCACCUUA
This 235-nucleotide long non-coding RNA is filed under the name Capsicum annuum. Its description in RNAcentral is "long non-coding RNA (CANN_LNC005236)". Lineage: Eukaryota; Viridiplantae; Streptophyta; Magnoliopsida; Solanales; Solanaceae. The record is from RNAcentral.